RNAcentral lists this ribosomal RNA (389 nucleotides) under uncultured microorganism. RNAcentral's name for it is "bacterial SSU rRNA". It matches the Rfam family "Archaeal small subunit ribosomal RNA", at positions 330 to 720 of the family's 1478-position model. The record is from RNAcentral.
GUGCAGCAGUCGAGAAAACUUCACAAUGUGCGAAAGCACGAUGAGGGAAUCCCAAGUGCUUGCACGUAAGUGUAAGCUGUUUCUCUGUCUAAAACGCAGAGAGAGUAAGGGCUGGGUAAGACGGGUGCCAGCCGCCGCGGUAAUACCUGCAGCUCGAGUGGUGACCGUUAUUAUUGGGCCUAAAACGUCCGUAGCCGGUUUAAUAAAUGCCUGGGUAAAUCGGACCGCUUAACGGUUCGAAUUCCGGGUAGACUGUUAAACUUGAGACCGGGAGAAGUUAGAGGUACUCCUGGGGUAGAGGUGAAAUUCUGUAAUCCUAGGGGGACCACCAGUGGCGAAGGCGUCUAACUAGAACGGGUCUGACGGUGAGGGACGAAGCCCUGGGGCGC